AGUGGCGGACGGGUGAGUAACGCGUGAGGAACCUGCCUUUCAGAGGGGGACAACAGUUGGAAACGACUGCUAAUACCGCAUAACGCAUAUUGAUCGCAUGGUCGAUAUGCCAAAGAUUUAUCGCUGAAAGAUGGCCUCGCGUCUGAUUAGCUAGUUGGUGAGGUAACGGCCCACCAAGGCGACGAUCAGUAGCCGGACUGAGAGGUUGACCGGCCACAUUGGGACUGAGAUACGGCCCAGACUCCUACGGGAGGCAGCAGUGGGGAAUAUUGGGCAAUGGGCGAAAGCCUGAUCCAGCGACGCCGCGUGAAGGAAGACGGUCUUCGGAUUGUAAACUUUAGUGAGCAGGGACGAUAGUGACGGUACCUGCAUAGCAAGCCACGGCUAACUACGUGCCAGCAGCCGCGGUAAUACGUAGGUGGCAAGCGUUAUCCGGAAUUACUGGGUGUAAAGGGUGAGUAGGCGGGAAGGCAAGUCAGGUGUGAAAUGCAGGGGCUCAACCCCUGAACUGCACUUGAAACUGCUUUUCUUGAGAGUCGGAGGGGUAAUCGGAAUUCCCAGUGUAGCGGUGAAAUGCGCAGAGAUUGGGAGGAACACCAG
Molecule: ribosomal RNA, 600 nt
Filed under: uncultured Bacillota bacterium
Lineage: Bacteria; Bacillati; Bacillota
Description: bacterial SSU rRNA
Rfam family: Bacterial small subunit ribosomal RNA
Source: RNAcentral